UGCAGUCGACGGCAGCACAGUAAGAGCUUGCUCUUAUGGGUGGCGAGUGGCGGACGGGUGAGGAAUACAUCGGAAUCUACCUUUUCGUGGGGGAUAACGUAGGGAAACUUACGCUAAUACCGCAUACGACCUUCGGGUGAAAGCAGGGGACCUUCGGGCCUUGCGCGGAUAGAUGAGCCGAUGUCGGAUUAGCUAGUUGGCGGGGUAAAGGCCCACCAAGGCGACGAUCCGUAGCUGGUCUGAGAGGAUGAUCAGCCACACUGGAACUGAGACACGGUCCAGACUCCUACGGGAGGCAGCAGUGGGGAAUAUUGGACAAUGGGCGCAAGCCUGAUCCAGCCAUACCGCGUGGGUGAAGAAGGCCUUCGGGUUGUAAAGCCCUUUUGUUGGGAAAGAAAAGCAGUCGGCUAAUACCCGGUUGUUCUGACGGUACCCAAAGAAUAAGCACCGGCUAACUUCGUGCCAGCAGCCGCGGUAAUACGAAGGGUGCAAGCGUUACUCGGAAUUACUGGGCGUAAAGCGUGCGUAGGUGGUUGUUUAAGUCUGUUGUGAAAGCCCUGGGCUCAACCUGGGAAUUGCAGUGGAUACUGGGCGACUAGAGUGUGGUAGAGGGUAGUGGAAUUCCCGGUGUAGCAGUGAAAUGCGUAGAGAUCGGGAGGAACAUCCAUGGCGAAGGCAGCUACUUGGACCAACACUGACACUGA
RNAcentral lists this ribosomal RNA (704 nucleotides) under uncultured bacterium. Its description in RNAcentral is "bacterial SSU rRNA". It matches the Rfam family "Bacterial small subunit ribosomal RNA", at positions 56 to 749 of the family's 1533-position model. The record is from RNAcentral.